CGGAGGAUCCAAGCGUUAUCCGGAUUCAUUGGGUUUAAAGGGUGCGUAGGCGGAACGAUAAGUCAGUGGUGAAAGCCUGUAGCUUAACUACAGAACUGCCAUUGAUACUGUCGAUCUUGAGUAUAUUUGAUGUGGGCGGAAUGUGUCAUGUAGCGGUGAGAUGCUUAGAUAUGACACAGAACACCGAUUGCGAAGGGCAGCUCACAAAACUAUAACUGACGCUGAGGCACGAAAGCGUGGGGAUCAAACAGGAUUAGAUACCCUGGUAGUCCACGCCGUAAACUAUGAUUACUCGAUGUUUGCGAUACACUGUAAGCGUCUAAGCGAAAGCGAUAAGUAAUCCACCUGGGGAGUACGCUCGCAAGAGUG
This 369-nucleotide ribosomal RNA is filed under the name uncultured organism. RNAcentral describes it as "bacterial SSU rRNA". It matches the Rfam family "Bacterial small subunit ribosomal RNA", at positions 526 to 896 of the family's 1533-position model. The record is from RNAcentral.